UAUCACCUUGAUCAUUUAAAAAAUCUAAAUUAUGUUAUUGGCUGGGAAUAUUUCUGUAUGUAUUUAUAUGCAAAUAACAUGUAAAUCAUAUUCUUGUAUUAGGCUCCCAAGGAGAUUUGUGACACCUGGGCUCAUGCUGACCCCAUCCCUCCUCUCAUUAUUCAUAAACACCCAUCCCCAAAUCCAGAUAUCCCAGAAAAUCAAAUCUUUAUAAGUCUUGGAAGUAUGAUAUAAAGCUGUCUCAUAUCUAUGAAAUCAACAACAUAAAAUCAAUCCCCAGGACCUUCCCUUGCCCUCCCCUCCUCCUUCCUCGGGGCCCCCUUCCUCUCCUUACUUGUCUCUCUCCUAUUUUCAUGAGGUCCCACCUACUUUUCCCCUUUUAGUCCUCUCUAGAUUCCACAUAUGAAAACCAUGUUCAUCCAGGCUCUGUGUCAAAUUAAACUCUAAAACUUGUUUUUUCUCCCAAGACAGAAAACAAAGGAAAAGCAUGAGCGCCAUCUGGUGGAGAAACUUACCAUUAUCAUCCUCAGUUGAUCAGUAUUUUAUCCCAAAUCCUCCCAAACACAUUCCACACAGCUGCCUGCACGCAGGGUUUUCCCAUUCCACCUGUUUGGGAGGUCUGGGGGCACAGUCCCCCCUCCAGGGGCAUCCUGUACCCACCUUGGGGUGCUCCUCAGGCACGUGCUGCUUGGAGAACUUGGCCAGCUGCACCAGCUCGGGGAUGACCUCCUUGACAUCAUAGCUGUUGGUGCAGUUCACCAGUGUGGUGGCCACUGAGUACAGAAUGGUCUUGUCACUGGUCUGCAGACACCGGGUUAGGGGGGAAGGCAGAAAGGAACUUUGGAACCGAACUCUGCUUCCAAGACAGCUCCCUGACAUGGUGAGCAAAUUGGCUUGGAAGGAGUGUGGCUGGUGGGGCUCGGCUUGGAGAAGUACAGGUGGCACAGGAGGGGAACCGGCUCUGCUCUUAGAGGGUGGCAGAAAUGUCUCCUGAACCCCCAGCAGCACCACAACAGUAGGCCAGUGGCUUCUCACCCAGCACCUUGCUUGGUGCCUUUCAAAAGCCCAGCGCACUCACAUCCCACUACCUGGAGUGGGCACUUGGGUGGGAGCUGGAGCUCUGCUCUGGCUCUACUGGAAAUCCUUCCCGCACUUCCAGAGGGAGUGAAGCACUGCCCCAACGCCCUCGGGACCUCCUCACUCAUGGCCAUGGGCAAAUAUGCCAUCUUCCCUCUGCCUGGAAGGCACGUGGAUUCACUUUCAGCCAGAAACAGUUUGCAGACCCUGGGAAGAGAGAAAGGAGAAGCACAGUAAAGGCAGCGUCUUCGCCACCUGAGCCUCACCUGGCUCAGUCCUGGCUUCCUGACCACACCCCCAUGACUGAGCCACAGAUUUGCAGAAUCGACAACCUGGGACUGAAUCUGGGUCAAGGCCAGAUUGAGCACUUGCUCCUAAUGACUAGAACGUGCGAGUGAUGGUGUGCAGCUGCUGAGGCUGGUGUGUGAGAGACACUGCCCUCCUCCCUGCUCUACCCUGGAUCAUCACUCAGGGAAGCAGCUGCCAUGGUGAGGACUCUUCAGCCUGUGGAGAAGUCCACAUGGGGAGGAACUGAGGCCUCCCACCAACAGCCAGCACCAGCAUGCCAAUCAGGUGAGUGCGCCAUCUUGGAAGUCCAGUCAAGCCUUUGGAUGGCUGCAGCCCAGGCCAACUUAGGAUUGUAACUUCAAGAGAGAUCCUGAGCCAGAACCACCCACCCAGGAGACUCACGUGAUAUACUCCUCACAGAUCUUUCGGAAAUGAUCGCGCUCCGGAUCACAUCGCAGGUCAUCGUAGAGCUUGUUAAUGAGGAUGGAGGCCAGCAUGCGGGUGUUGUCGGUCAGGGGCAGGCAGGAGGGCAGAUCUGGAACCUGCCCCACUACCUUCAGAAUCUUCCUCAGGCCUGCAGGGGGACAGGGGCAAGAGUGAGAUUCCUGCUGGGCUCUGUCCUCAGGAACAUACCCCUGACUAAGCAAUGUCCUGUCUCUAGCUUCGCUCCAACCCUGCCUUUAGACAGGAGAGCCUAGGGCACCGGAGUGGAGACAAGAGACCCAGGUCCUCCACCUGGCUCUGCCCCUACCUUGAGUGAUCCACCAUUCUCUGUGGGCCUCCAUUUUCACCUUUUCAAAAUCAUGAUGAGUUGAUCUCAGAGGACUCUACCAGUGCUAACAUUCCGUGAGUAGACACGCAGUCUUCCUCACAUACUAUUUUAUCUUCUCUUUUCUCUAGGCCACAGUUUCUUAAAUUGUGAAAAUGGACAUAAUACUACCUACCUUAUAGAGCUUGAGGACUCAAUAAGAAAAUAAUAAGCAGAAAUAGCCAGGUGCCCAUCUGAGACAUAAUUGUCACUCA
Molecule: long non-coding RNA, 2388 nt
Organism: Marmota monax (woodchuck)
Lineage: Eukaryota; Metazoa; Chordata; Mammalia; Rodentia; Sciuridae
Exons: 3
Source: RefSeq, a predicted model, not a curated record